Molecule: ribosomal RNA, 95 nt
Filed under: uncultured bacterium
Lineage: Bacteria
Description: partial 16S ribosomal RNA
Source: RNAcentral
ACCGCCGUCACACCAUGGAAGCCCGCUGUACCGGAAGUCGGUGAUGGAACCCGCAAGGGCCUAGCCGCCGAUGGUAUGACGUGGUGACUGGGGUG